GAUGAACGCUGGCGGCGUGCCUAAUACAUGCAAGUCGAACGCAUAGCGAAAGGUGCUUGCACCUUUCAAGUGAGUGGCGAACGGGUGAGUAACACGUGGACAACCUGCCUCAAGGCUGGGGAUAACAUUUGGAAACAGAUGCUAAUACCGAAUAAAACUUAGUGUCGCAUGACACAAAGUUAAAAGGCGCUUCGGCGUCACCUAGAGAUGGAUCCGCGGUGCAUUAGUUAGUUGGUGGGGUAAAGGCCUACCAAGACAAUGAUGCAUAGCCGAGUUGAGAGACUGAUCGGCCACAUUGGGACUGAGACACGGCCCAAACUCCUACGGGAGGCUGCAGUAGGGAAUCUUCCACAAUGGGCGAAAGCCUGAUGGAGCAACGCCGCGUGUGUGAUGAAGGCUUUCGGGUCGUAAAGCACUGUUGUAUGGGAAGAACAGCUAGAAUAGGAAAUGAUUUUAGUUUGACGGUACCAUACCAGAAAGGGACGGCUAAAUA
Molecule: ribosomal RNA, 493 nt
Filed under: uncultured bacterium
Lineage: Bacteria
Description: partial 16S ribosomal RNA
Rfam family: Bacterial small subunit ribosomal RNA
Source: RNAcentral